This 962-nucleotide long non-coding RNA is filed under the name Theobroma cacao (cacao). RNAcentral's name for it is "long non-coding RNA (TCAC_LNC002368)". Lineage: Eukaryota; Viridiplantae; Streptophyta; Magnoliopsida; Malvales; Malvaceae. The record is from RNAcentral.
AAAGAACACAAACCCUAGGUGGGAAAAUUGAAGAAAAAGUGUGGGAUUCCAAGGGAUUAAGCUAAUAAAGGUAAAAUUUUAUGAUUUUAUCUUGUGAUUUAAACUACCCAUGCUUUCUUUUUCAUUUUCGAUGCUUAGAACUCAAGUUUGCAUGAUGAGCCCAUGCUGGUCGAAUUUGAAAGCAGAGGUUUUGAACAUUGAUUUUGCUAGAUUUGAAGCUAAUUAAGUGUUUUUGGUUGUUUGGUAAUGGAAAGUAUGAAAAUCUAGCAAGGAAUCCUUUUGUUCUUCACAAAACCACGAGAAGUUGAAUUUUCUAGAGAGGAUAUUGAGGCUGAAAUUGAGGAUAUUUCAUGAUAUUUUGGUGGUAUUUAAUGAUUUGUGAGGCUAGAAAUUUAAUGGAAAAUUUAAUGAUAUUUCAUUAUCUAAAGUGGUUUUUAUUCGAUUUUGUGAAUUUUAUGGAAAAUUAAUUAAAUGAUUAAUUUUUUGAUUUUAUAAACAAAAUGUGAUUUAAUGAAAUGAUUUCAUAAAAUUGUUUUAAAAUUGAAUAAUGGUUUGAAAAUAGAGUAAUUGGAGACCAUUUGAUGUAUUGUGAAUUUAUGGUUCUAAUUGAUUGUGUUAUGACAAUAUUGGCAUGAAUGGCUGAAUUGGCAUUUGUGUUGAAAUGUAUAAACUAUUGUUUGCCUUAAUAGGCUGGAAAAUGAUAAAAUUGCCAUAUCAUGUUAUUGAAUUUUAUUGAUUGGUGAGAUGAUUAUUAGCUUACUACAGUGGGCGGGUUUCGUGGACCAGCCUAUUAGAAGGGCACGAUAACCCCGUUAUAUUCUUACCUCAGUAUGAGAGGCGUGGGUGGAUAACUCCUAAGGCUAACACUUUUAGAGUUCACUUCAUGUCGAACCACCACGUGAGGGGGAACUCAUCCAAUUGCAAGGAACGGCUAUGUUUUCAAAAUAAAAACAUGAUUUAUG